RNAcentral lists this transfer RNA (83 nucleotides) under Canis lupus familiaris (dog). It matches the Rfam family "tRNA". From Rfam's summary of the family: Transfer RNA (tRNA) molecules are approximately 80 nucleotides in length. Their secondary structure includes four short double-helical elements and three loops (D, anti-codon, and T loops). Further hydrogen bonds mediate the characteristic L-shaped molecular structure. tRNAs have two regions of fundamental functional importance: the anti-codon, which is responsible for specific mRNA codon recognition, and the 3' end, to which the tRNAs corresponding amino acid is attached (by aminoacyl-tRNA synthetases). tRNAs cope with the degeneracy of the genetic code in two manners: having more than one tRNA (with a specific anti-codon) for a particular amino acid; and 'wobble' base-pairing, i.e. permitting non-standard base-pairing at the 3rd anti-codon position. The record is from Rfam by way of RNAcentral. Lineage: Eukaryota; Metazoa; Chordata; Mammalia; Carnivora; Canidae.
GCCUGGGUGGCUCAGUGAUUGAGCAUCUGCCUUUGGCUCAGGUUCUGAUCCCAGGAUUUUGGGAUCAAGUCCCAGGUCAGGCU